Molecule: ribosomal RNA, 425 nt
Filed under: uncultured bacterium
Lineage: Bacteria
Description: partial 16S ribosomal RNA
Rfam family: Bacterial small subunit ribosomal RNA
Source: RNAcentral
GUGGGGAAUAUUGCACAAUGGGCGAAAGCCUGAUGCAGCGACGCCGCGUGAGCGAUGAAGUAUUUCGGUACGUAAAGCUCUAUCAGCAGGGAAGAUAAUGACGGUACCUGACUAAGAAGCACCGGCUAAAUACGUGCCAGCAGCCGCGGUAAUACGUAUGGUGCAAGCGUUAUCCGGAUUUACUGGGUGUAAAGGGAGCGUAGGCGGCGUGGUAAGUCAGAAGUGAAAGCCCGGGGCUCAACCCCGGGACUGCUUUUGAAACUAUCAUGCUAGAGUGUCGGAGAGGUAAGUGGAAUUCCUAGUGUAGCGGUGAAAUGCGUAGAUAUUAGGAGGAACACCAGUGGCGAAGGCGGCUUACUGGACUGUAACUGACGUUGAGGCUCGAAAGCGUGGGGAGCAAACAGGAUCAGAUACCCUAGUAGUCC